This 234-nucleotide ribosomal RNA is filed under the name uncultured Glomus. Its description in RNAcentral is "partial 18S ribosomal RNA". It matches the Rfam family "Eukaryotic small subunit ribosomal RNA", at positions 548 to 785 of the family's 1831-position model. The record is from RNAcentral. Lineage: Eukaryota; Fungi; Glomeromycota; Glomeromycetes; Glomerales; Glomeraceae.
UUGGAGGGCAAGUCUGGUGCCAGCAGCCGCGGUAAUUCCAGCUCCAAUAGCGUAUAUUAAAGUUGUUGCAGUUAAAAGGCUCGUAGUUGAAUUUCGAGACCGGCUUAUUGGUCGUGCUAUUGUACGUACUGGUAUAAUCGGUUUCUCCUUUCUGACGAACUUUAAUGCCAUUAAUUUGGUGUUUUAGGGAAUCAGGACUGUUACUUUGAAAAAAUUAGAGUGUUUAAAGCAGGC